This 468-nucleotide ribosomal RNA is filed under the name uncultured bacterium. RNAcentral describes it as "partial 16S ribosomal RNA". It matches the Rfam family "Bacterial small subunit ribosomal RNA", at positions 28 to 507 of the family's 1533-position model. The record is from RNAcentral.
GACGAACGCUGGCGGCGUGCUUAACACAUGCAAGUCGAACGGAAAGGCCCUGCUUUUGUGGGGUGCUCGAGUGGCGAACGGGUGAGUAACACGUGAGUAACCUGCCCUUGACUUUGGGAUAACUUCAGGAAACUGGGGCUAAUACCGGAUAGGAGCUCCUGCUGCAUGGUGGGGGUUGGAAAGUGUCGGCGGUUGGGGAUGGACUGGCGGCUUAUCAGCUUGUUGGUGGGGUAGUGGCUUACCAAGGCUUUGACGGGUAGCCGGCCUGAGAGGGUGACCGGCCACAUUGGGACUGAGAGACGGACCAGAAUCCUACGGGAGGCAGCAGUGGGGAAUACUGCACAAUGGGCGGAAGCCUGAUGCAGCAACGCCGCGUGCGGGAUGACGGCUUUUGGGUUGUAAACCGCUUUCGCCUGUGACGAAGCGUGAGUGACGGUAAUGGGUAAAGAAGCACCGGCUAACUACGUG